This is a long non-coding RNA of Cottoperca gobio, 1704 nucleotides long. The record is from Ensembl. Lineage: Eukaryota; Metazoa; Chordata; Actinopteri; Perciformes; Bovichtidae.
AUGGGAAUAACACUGAUUUGCGAUAAUGCCAACGACAUCAAGUACUGUGUCCAACGCAAGACUUGUGACGGGCAGAGACCAGCUGAGAUCUACUGUAACGGGUACGUGGAGAAAGUAGAACCAACAGCGAGAAUGUUGGCAAGAAAAGAAGUUGAGUUUGAAAGUGGCGACUAUGACGACGUCAUGGAAAAAUCCAAUGAAAUGGAGGACCGGAGUCAGGCCAGUUUCAGAGAAGAGGUUGAAGUGAAGAGCACUUCCUUCAAUUCUUACAAUAAUAUGGAUGACGUGGCUGAGACUGAGCCCCUGACCGGUCAGGCUGCCACCUUUGCUGCUUCAGGAGGCAACUAUGUCGAUGAGGUUCCCCUCGAUCACAUCUCAGAUGGGGUGACCUACGAGGUGGACGACCCGCAGGAGAAUUACGACGACAUUGAAGCCUUCCCUGCAAUCACUCAGACUGAAGCUGAAGUCCACGACAGCCCCCAAGUCACACCUGAGAGCGACGCAGCGGAACCUGUAGGAUUAGUGGAGGGGGAUGAUGACUACCUGGUGCCGGGCUAAGACGGGUGAGCCAAACCUGGGUUUAGCUGGCAAAGCGGAUCUCCCCAAACACCUAGCUGCCAUUUACUCUGACGAAAAAAGUCUGAAAUUACAGACGGACAAAACGAUGUCACAGUAAAUCUUUUUAUUCAGCAGAUAUUCAUGAAGUAACUUAAAAAUUGAGUGUAUUAAGAAAAACAUGCAUCUCUAGAUAAAACUAAUUAAAUGAUUCAUACUGAUAAUUCCAUAUCAGACAAGAUUGUACAGUUUAUGAAUAGAACAAAAGGUCGAUCAGAGGUUUCAAAUGUACAAAGUGUUAGCCUGCACAGGCGAGGAAGAUGAGUGAGCACAAUUAGCUUUCUCUUUAAAUGUACAAAAUGAGACGGAAGUGACAGAAACUUAGAGCGAUAAGCAAAGCUAUAAAUCUUUUUUUGUUUUUAUUAUAAAAUCUACUGCCUGUUGUUGAUUUUAUGGCCAUUAUGAAAUGUGCUUAGAAUGUUAAAUAAUCAUAUAUGAUCUUUUUAAUUGUUUUGUUAAAAACAAAUCUGAUGUUAAUACAGUAAUAGAUUUUCAAUGAUUUGCGUAUGAGUUUAUUUUUUGCAGUAUUUUGUUGACUUGUCAACAUCUAUAUAAAGAAUGCAUGCAGCAACAAUGAAAUAAAUGUGACAUGAGUCAAACUCACAGCUGAUUCAGUAAUCAGGUCAUUUCAUCGCAUGGUUGUAUUGUAUAUUUCUGAGUCUAUAGGCUUUUUAAGAAUGUAUAACAUUGAGAUUUUACAGUCAUAUUCUUUAAUAUUUUCCUUGUUCUGCAAGAAACAAAGUAUGCAUAUUUCCAAAUAUAUAUAAAACAUGAGUAUAAUGUUCAGUUGGUUGUUAUUGUCAUCUUUUAUUGUUUCGGUGUCUUUAACAACAAUGUGGUUACAUUUUGACAAAACCAAUUUUUUUUUUUUUUUUAGCAAUAACUGUAUAGUGUGGAUCUGUUGUGUGUCAUUAAGUUUUGUGCAGCACAACUUUAAAUUAUCUUUAAUGUCGAAACUUUUUGAAUGCUCUGUUACCACUUUUAGGUUUUAUCUUCUACCGACAUCUAACGAUGCCUCAGAGACUCAUUGGAAAUGGCUCAGAUGUUGAGUAUCAAACUGUAUGUUAUAUACGUUAUAUAUAGUUUGAU